Acanthosepion pharaonis is the source of this 109-nucleotide non-coding RNA. The record is from the annotation of a GenBank genome assembly. Lineage: Eukaryota; Metazoa; Mollusca; Cephalopoda; Sepiida; Sepiidae.
UUAUGGCCAUAUCACAUUGAAACACCGAUUCUCGUACGAUCACUGAAGUUAAGCAACUGAGCCUGGUCGAUACCUAGAUGGGUAACCGCUUGGGAAUACCACGUGCUGU